UUGAAAGGGAAACGAUUGAAGUCAGUCAUGCCAGUGGGAAUCAACUUAGGGGAAACUCCGGGUGCACUUCUUCGCUUGGCAGGUCAACGUCGAUUUUGAAUGUCAUAAAAUAAUUGGGGGAAGGUAGCUCUUCGGGAGUGUUAUAGCCCUUGAUAGAUGUGAUGUUUGGGGUCGAGGAUUGCAACGGAAUCCUUCGGGGCUAGCCGCCUGAUCUCUAAUUGGUGUUGGGUUACGGAUAGCAUGCUGACCGUGAUCUAAUUACUGGUUAAAAGGUUAGAGUGUGCAUAAAUUCGUUAAGGAUGUUGACGUA
RNAcentral lists this ribosomal RNA (310 nucleotides) under uncultured Glomeromycotina. RNAcentral describes it as "LSU rRNA". The record is from RNAcentral. Lineage: Eukaryota; Fungi; Glomeromycota.